Drosophila melanogaster (fruit fly) is the source of this 86-nucleotide non-coding RNA. Lineage: Eukaryota; Metazoa; Arthropoda; Insecta; Diptera; Drosophilidae. The record is from Ensembl.
UAUAUAAUAGCACUGCUGGCUCAUUGGUACAUUUCAUAAGUACCUUAUCAAAUGUUCCAAUGGUCGGGCAGAGCUAUUAUUUGUCC